Sorghum bicolor (sorghum) is the source of this 1641-nucleotide long non-coding RNA. RefSeq lists it as uncharacterized. The record is from RefSeq and is a predicted model, not a curated record. The transcript is spliced from 6 exons. Lineage: Eukaryota; Viridiplantae; Streptophyta; Magnoliopsida; Poales; Poaceae.
GGGUCCGGGUCGUGGCGGGCGAGCCGCCCACUGGCCGACGCCGAGUUCAAUCGCUAGGGUGAAGUGAAUCAAGGCUGCCGGGGCCGACCGGCGACCUCGCCGCUGGCCCUACACCGCUACACGAGAUAGCACCUGUGCGGGGAUUGUGUUGUGGCAGGAGGCCCCGAGGCCAGGUCGCGCCGCCUGCAUGCCCCGCACCUUGCCAAUGCGAUGCAAAUGCGUGGGGACCGCGAUCGUCAAGGGCAGCGCCGCCACCAUCAGCGACGCGGCCAAGCUACCUAGGUCCUAGCUGUCUCCUCAUGGGGUACGAAUGGUCCUGCUCUGUUUCAACUUUCAAGAGAGCAUGUUACCUUUUGCAAAAGACACAUAGGAGGAGUGGAAUAAGUUCCUUUUUGCAAUAAGUACCAGUGAAAAGGAGAUACUAAAGUGCAUGUCAGCUACAACCCCAGAAGUCUGGAACUGAAGUAGAGUACAAAAUCUUUUUUUUUGGGUAAGGAGAUUAUUUGGUUAGGGUUAAAAUCCCACGUAAUUAAGUGACAAUGUGACUCUAGGUGCCCAACAGUUGGAACAAGCGACAGGGCCAAUUCCUGGGGGCCGUGUACAAACUGCAAACCAGCUUGUUCACAGAACAAGAUUGGAGGAUACUGCAUGCAUAAUGGCCUGACUGAAUCUCAAAUAUGUGUUGUCGUUAUGGGGCAUGGUUUGAAUGGCUGAAGUUUCCAUUUGUUACCUUAGUUCCAAGCUCCCUGUGUGUUGUAGUUGGGGAAUGGAACUCCGCCGGAUUCAAUGAGCGUGACAUCAUCAUUAAGGAUCUCAUAAUGGCGGCGAACUUCAUCGGCUGUCUUGAUGCCACCCAUGGCACGGGCCACCUUGUGCCAGCGGUCAGGGUGGCUACUAUUUAUAGGCGCUUGACGAGCGUGAACUGCUGUUCACGUUGCCAUCCAGCCUGCAGUAGGCUCAAAGCUUGACAGGCUGCAGAUUCUCAUGUUUUGAACUCAGGAUCCACUACAAGAGUAGUGUGUGCACUUGGGCAUCAUGGAAAGGGGAAUCCCAAUAUCUUCUGUUCUGCGUAUAUAGGGUAUAUAUGGUGGUGACCAUUAUCUUGGUUCGAAGCAGUGGGUGUAGGUGAUAGCUGGACGCAUGCACUGGAUUUCCAUCUGUAGACGGCCCUGUACUACGGCAUGGAGUUCUCUACACUGAAGGCCGGUGGCAAACUGAGAGCCAUGGCAAUGGUGUCAUCAUUCCGGAAGAACUGCAAAAGGAUCUUAGCGAUGGGAUGGUAAAAUCAGAUGGCUUUGCAGUUUGCACCACUAAGGAGAAUGAUGUGAUUUGUGAAACCAUCGUUGGAUGUAACUUGCUUCUCCUGUAAAGGAUUGAGAUAUAUUCUGCGCACCUGCAUGACAUCCUAGUAAACUAAACCAGGUGAUUACUGGAAGGUUGACGACAAUAACGAUUCGAGAAUAGAAACCCAAAAUUUACCAAAUCUUUUGUACUCUUGAAGUUCUCUUGGUCUGAACAGUACACAUGGGGCUGGGCAGAAGCAGAAUAUGUGCUAAAGCUUGGACUGGACCUGGACCAACGAAUUAUUUCUUCGGUCGGUUGCCAGGACCUUGGAAAUGAGAAUUGCAUUUGUUCUUUGAC